This 305-nucleotide ribosomal RNA is filed under the name uncultured bacterium. Its description in RNAcentral is "bacterial SSU rRNA". It matches the Rfam family "Bacterial small subunit ribosomal RNA", at positions 333 to 636 of the family's 1533-position model. The record is from RNAcentral.
UAGUUCCUACGGGGGGCAGCAGUGAGGAAUAUUGGUCAAUGGGCGCUAGCCUGAACCAGCCAAGUAGCGUGAAGGAUGACUGCCCUAUGGGUUGUAAACUUCUUUUAUAUGGGAAUAAAGUGCAGUAUGUAUACUGCUUUGCAUGUACCUUAUGAAUAAGGAUCGGCUAACUCCGUGCCAGCAGCCGCGGUAAUACGGAGGAUCCGAGCGUUAUCCGGAUUUAUUGGGUUUAAAGGGAGCGUAGGCGGGUUGUUAAGUCAGCGGUAAAAGCCCGGGGCUCAACCCCGGCGAGCCGUUGAAACUGG